GCAACCGCAUUUACUCUUUUCCCAUCUCCAAUUCCAUCGUUGAAUUUGAACCCUUCUCUCUAUCUUUCUCAGUCUCUCUCCUUCCAUCUUCUCUCUUCCAUUAAUGGGGUCCCCUCUCCGGUUCCCAGGGUUGUGACGGAAACACCCGCAAAAUAAAACCCAUCCCAAUUCCCUCGUCACUCUCGUAUCUCUCAUUCACACAUCGUCACGGCGGGCGACGCUAAUGCGAGAGCAGACGACGUCACGGCGGACGACCGCCACGACUCCUUGAUGAUGGAGUGACAGACACAGCCAGCAUCCUCUUCUCCUUCUCUCACGGUGGCAGAUCUAAGGUUUAGGUUCAGAUCUUCUCUUUGUUGUCGAAAUUGUAGCUGCGUAAUCAUCUGAGUUGUACCUGCGUUUUCUACAGAAGAUGCUAGAGGUCUGUUGCAUAUGCACUUGAAGCACAAGGUUUUCCGCGGGGAUCAGCAGUAGGUGUAGAUAUGCCAAUGAAUGUUGAUUAUUGUCAAACAUUGAACGAGGAAGAAAAUUUUGAGGUUCAGGACAGAGAAUCACUUUUUCCUCUUGGAUGGAUUCAUACACACCCUACACAGACAUGUUUCAUGUCAUCAGUGGACUUCCAUACUCAUUACUAGGGCUGUCAAUGAUGCGAGUCGAGCUCGAGUUUGACUAAACUCGACUCGAACUCGAAAACUCAUACUCAAACUCGACUCGACUCGAAAACUCGCGAGUUUCAAAAUUUCAAGCUUGAACUGGAACUCGAAACCUAAACUCGAACUCGAAUUCGAUUCAAGCUCGAGCUCGAACUCGAACUCGUUUCAAGCUCGAACUCGAACUCGUUUCAAGCUCGAACUCGAACUCGUUUCAAGCUCGAACUCGAACUCGUUUCAUGCUUUUUGGUCAUUUGAUAUAUUUUUAUUUUUUUUAUAAGAAAUUCUUUACUUUGCUUUUUGGUCAUUUUAUACACUUUUUUUCGUUUUUUUAAAAGAAAGGUACAAGUAUUUUUAUAGAAAAAAUUAAAAGUAAAUAUAUAUAAAAUUUUAUCGAGUAUCUCACGAGUUUCUCGAGUCGAGUAUUGAGUUGCUCGACUCGACUCGUUAACAUGUCGAGUCGAGUUCGAGCUCACUCGAGUCGAGCUUUGACCGAGCUUUGACCGAGCCGAGUUCGAGUAGCUCGCGAGCUGUCUCAACUCAUUGCCAGCCCUACUCAUUACUCAUAUCAGGUCCUUGCGUAUCGUGGUGAAUAGGUGAGGCGCAGUGUUGCUGAUUUGAGAGAGGCACAGUAUCGUGUAGAAGGAAAAGAUUGCUAUCUGUUUAAGAUCAGUGAAGAUGUAGUAAUCGAUGCUACCAACAAAGGAAACAUUGCUCGCCUAAUCAACCACUCCGUGUUGUUCCAUUUUCUCAGCAACUUAUUGCGACUGAAAGAGCUUGGUUUGCAUGGCGUGAUUACUUUAAUUGAGCUUGGUGCACACUUUUUCUGUCUACUAGUUAGAUAUAGGAUUCUUGCUCCUGUAUCUAUAUUGUUGUAACUUUCGUAAUGCAAAUAAAUGAUCUCUGUUAAUGUGAUGUUUGUCCUUUUCUCUU
Beta vulgaris subsp. vulgaris (sugar beet) is the source of this 1583-nucleotide long non-coding RNA. RefSeq lists it as uncharacterized. NCBI's taxonomy places the organism in Eukaryota, Viridiplantae, Streptophyta, Magnoliopsida, Caryophyllales, Amaranthaceae. The transcript has 8 exons. The record is from RefSeq and is a predicted model, not a curated record.